Molecule: ribosomal RNA, 699 nt
Filed under: uncultured Xerocomus
Lineage: Eukaryota; Fungi; Basidiomycota; Agaricomycetes; Boletales; Boletaceae
Description: eukaryotic LSU rRNA
Rfam family: 5.8S ribosomal RNA (bases 213-367)
Source: RNAcentral
CAUUAUCGAAAUCCGAGUGAGAGAGGACUGUCGCUAUCACGCGUGAUGUGCACGUCCUUUCUUUCUUGUUCUCUCACACCUGUGCACCUACUGUAGGCCCUCGCAAGAGGAUCUAUGUCUUUCAUAUCACACCGAUCAUAUGUCCAUAGAAUGUACUGAGAUCGACCGUCGACUCCUAGAGGGUCGGGAGGCGAUCAACGAAAAAUAUAUACAACUUUCAGCAAUGGAUCUCUUGGCUCUCGCAUCGAUGAAGAACGCAGCGAAUUGCGAUAAGUAAUGUGAAUUGCAGAUUUUCAGUGAAUCAUCGAAUCUUUGAACGCACCUUGCGCUCCUUGGUAUUCCGAGGAGCAUGCCUGUUUGAGUGUCAUUGAAUUCUCAACCAUGUCGAGGCAUGGCUUGGACUUGGGGGUUGUUGGCUUCGAAAGAAGUCAGCUCUCCUGAAAUGCAUUAGCAAAAGAUCAGCAAGUCUGGCAUGCAUGGUAUGGCCUUUCGACGUGAUAACGAUCGUCGUGAGACCAGAAGUGUUCAGACUGGGUGUGAUUUGCUUCCAACCCCAGAUGGGACUUGGCCUAGCUUAGCUACUAGUUGGCCCAAAUAGGGCUGGCGAACGCAGGCGGAGACCAGUUCUGACCCUUGGUUUUGACUUGACCUCAAAUCAGGUAGGACUACCCGCUGAACUUAAGCAUAUCAAUAAGCGGA